Triticum dicoccoides is the source of this 2103-nucleotide long non-coding RNA. RefSeq lists it as uncharacterized. The transcript has 3 exons. The record is from RefSeq and is a predicted model, not a curated record. NCBI's taxonomy places the organism in Eukaryota, Viridiplantae, Streptophyta, Magnoliopsida, Poales, Poaceae.
ACAGCCCCUCCCCUCUCCUCCUAGAUGGGCCAUCCUCUCUCUCCACCGCACACCACUCCUCUCUCUCCCCCAUGUAGAGAACCCUAGAACUCCCCGAUCCAGAUCCCUCCCCUCCCCUUGCCGCCAUCCACCGCCGCUCUCUGCCGGCCUUGACCCCCUCCCUCCCCUGCCCUCCGAACACUGUCACCGGCCAGAUCCACUACAGCCCCCACCCCGGCCUCUCUCUCAUGACCCAUCUCUCUCCCCCGCACUGCACGCCGCCGCCACAUGUGCUAUCCAAUUCUAAUAUUCUUCGGUGACACAUGGCACCGCGCAGCAAGGGGCUCGCAUCUCUCCGUCCAGAUCCAAUGGGCGCCUCCCUGGCCUCGGAUCAGGCCUGCACGACCUGGGUGCCACCACCGCCACCGUCACACCCGUAGCCGAGAUCCAUGGCGUUGGCCCGUGGCUAGUGCUGGGAGGCGUGGAUUCAUGUGUGCUCCGGUUGCGGAUUCUGACCGUCCAAGGCGCCGUGUCCUCAAGGUGCAGAAGAGACCUCAUCUCCACUCCAAGGCCAUUCAUGCUGGCGUAGAUUGGCGUGCUCGCACGCGUUGGCUGGACAGCAGCGACACUGACCUCCUCCGUCGUGUCUCCCAAGACGCCGUGCAUCCUGCCGCGACCACCUCUAUUGCGCGACAGUGGUGGCCGACCUGCAAUGCGACCGCUGCAUUGCCAGUAACCUCUUCGCAAUGGCAACACAAGUAGGAACCUUGGAUACUCCUCGUUUAAGUCCACAAGUGGUAGGAUUCUCUGUUCAUGGGAGUCACCAUCUAGGCAUGCUUGCUACUUCACGAGAAUGCUGCAUUGUUCUUUAGCUGUCGAUUUUUUGUGUAGAUUUACUAUAUCGAGUUGAGGGCUUGAGGUAGGCUGUAGGUGAUUAGAACAACCACCUGUUAAGUAAGAUCAGGUCUAGUGUAUGCUCCGAACACAAGAUCCUUUACUUGCUCUGGUUUGGUUAAGACUGAUGAUGCCAUGGAUAAGAAAACAAUUUAAAAGGUAUGUUGAAGCAAGGUGGAAGCAUGUUCUUUCUUGCAACGUACCCUCAACCCCUAAACCCUUUUUAUUUGAACUUGUUAGUUAUGUUCUGGAGUCUGGAAUUUUUGAAUCAAUAUCUAUCUGAUUAAUGCAUGCCUUGUUUUAUUUUUUAGUUUGUUGCAAAACAUAUAUGUGGUAUAUCUGAUUAGUUAUGUUGUAAAAGAAUGCUUGUCUCUGACACUAUUAUUCUUAUGUUGAUAUAUGUGCCAAGUUUUGUUUGUUUCAAAUCAAUAUCUAUCUGAUUAAUUACUGACCAUGGUGAGCUAGAUCCAAACAAAAAGACACUUACAUUAACUUGGCACUUUCAGUCCUUGUAAUUCUGAUAGUGUGGAACUAUAUUUUGUAUACAUAGUCAACUAGUUUUCAUUUUAUAUUUGCUUGCUUAUGUGGAACUAUAUUUUCUCAUUUUUAUAAUUAUGACAUGGAUGAUAUGAAAUAUCAGAAUUGUUUCUGUUACAUGGUGUGCUGCUGGAAAGCCCCUGUGUAGGUUUAUUGUCUCAUAAUUGGGCAAUUAUUUUCUUGCAGGGGCCACCCAUUCGAGCUCACUUUGACCCUCUUUUGCUCUGUAGUGGUCCUGGUACAUGAAAAUAAGGUCCUUUUAAAUGUUUUGCUUCCUUGGUUGCAUUCUGCUGUACACUCAAAAAUAUUUUCAAUUUAGUUACAAGAAAACAAUAAAAUAGUCAAAAGGCUUUUAUUUAAUGUGGUUUUCAAAAAUGAAAAUGUGUUGUGAUGUUCUCCUCUUUCUGUUAACAUGUAUGUUGAGUAAUAUCAAGCCAUAAUUAUAGUCCCUCCAAGACAUGCUCAAACGUAGUCGCAUGUAUAGAUUUGUGUGGCCGAGGUAUAGUUUUAAGAUGAGAUAUGUGGCUGAGGUAUAGUUUUAAGAUGAGAUACAUAUAUAUGGAACUCCUGUAAGGGAAUUAGAACUAGAGAAAUAUAUAUGUAUGGGUACCUCGGCUAUUGGAAAUACCAACUAUACAAUCAUCUUGUUAAUUACUACACAUCAUCUUGUUGCAGCAUCAUUACUAAAACUAA